RNAcentral lists this ribosomal RNA (322 nucleotides) under uncultured Actinomycetes bacterium. RNAcentral describes it as "bacterial SSU rRNA". It matches the Rfam family "Bacterial small subunit ribosomal RNA", at positions 28 to 351 of the family's 1533-position model. Lineage: Bacteria; Bacillati; Actinomycetota; Actinomycetes. The record is from RNAcentral.
GACGAACGCUGGCGGCGUGCUUAACACAUGCAAGUCGAGCGGUAAGGCUCCUUCGGGAGUACACGAGCGGCGAACGGGUGAGUAACACGUGAGCAAUCUGCCCUUCACACCGGGAUAACCCGCGGAAACGAGGACUAAUACCGGAUACGACCACUUCAGACAUCUGAUGGUGGUGGAAAGCUCCGGCGGUGAAGGAUGAGCUCGCGGCCUAUCAGCUUGUUGGUGAGGUAACGGCUCACCAAGGCUUCGACGGGUAGCCGGCCUGAGAGGGUGACCGGCCACACUGGGACUGAGACACGGCCCAGACUCCUACGGGAGGCAG